This 76-nucleotide non-coding RNA is filed under the name Rhodococcus sp. (in: high G+C Gram-positive bacteria). The record is from RNAcentral. Lineage: Bacteria; Bacillati; Actinomycetota; Actinomycetes; Mycobacteriales; Nocardiaceae.
AAUCCGGUGAAAAUCCGGAGCGGUUGCGCCACUGUGAUCGACGUCGGGCAUAUGUCCGAAUUCGAGAGUCAGAAAA